UACCUCUUUAUUUUCUUUGCUUUUAUUAUUUGCUUAUGAAGAAUUGUGAUUGAGAGAAGUAUUGUUGAAAUUGUGAUUAGAAUAUUGUGGAAUAUGACUUUGGACUCACCGUUUUGGAGAAAAUUUGUGACCUUGAGAAUUGAGAUUAUCAAAUUGUAUUGUGUUAAGUGAAGAUAUUGAAUUCUUUGUGAUGAAUUGAGAAACUGAAUAUAAUAUGUAAGUUGAAGAACAGUAAUUGAAUAUAUAUAAACCACAAAGAGAGUAAGUGGGAGAUGAACUGAUAAGAAUAUGGAAGUAUUGUUGAAUUGAUAGUCGUAGAAUGGAUUAUGUAUUGAAUUAAGAUGGAAGUAAUAAGCCUUGGUAUUUUAUAGUUUGAUAAUUAAUUUCAGAUGGCUAGAGUACAAUCAAUUGUGAUACUAACAGAUCCAAUUCAUAUAACCAGUCUUUCCCCAUGUUUGAAACUACCUCUAUUAGUUCAAUUGCUUUGGUAUAUUGAAGCUUGAACACAAUGAGAACAACAUUUUGGUACCGCUGUCAGGGAAAUGAUAACAAUAUGAAAUAUAAGAAAUUGGUUGUAUGGGAGAUGAACUGAUAAGAAUAUAAAAGUAUUAUUGAAUUGAUAGUCAUAGAAUGGAUUAUGUAUUGAAUUAAGAUGGAAGUAGUAAGCCUUGGUGUUUUGUAGUUUGAUAA
Molecule: long non-coding RNA, 690 nt
Filed under: Physcomitrium patens
Lineage: Eukaryota; Viridiplantae; Streptophyta; Bryopsida; Funariales; Funariaceae
Description: long non-coding RNA (PPAT_LNC014963)
Source: RNAcentral